UAUGAGACAGUAUUCCACGUUUUAUUUUUUUUGGAUAUUACCAUAGCUAUAUGUAACGUCUGACAACAGGUAUCAACUACAGAAUAAUACACUGAAUAUUUCUGUCAGUUCCAGCCCAUCUUUAUUCCCUCCUCCUUCUUCUUCUGUUGCUUUUUGGUCCAGUAACUUUCCUGCUCCUGAUUCUCUCUUCGCUCGGUGUCUUUGAAUGUCAAACAUUAAACACAUGCACGUCAUUCACCUGGAUACAGCUGAGUAAGACAACAGUCAAAGAGACCUGACAGUAUGAAUAGAAUCGUGUUUUUUUUCUCACACAGCUUUAUUUUAGCUGAGACACCCAUACAGUAUUACUACAGUAAUUAUCAUAAGGCUAGAUUAUUGUACAGCUAUGCACCAAAAGGUUCACUCUGCUGUUCUAGAUGGAGAGAAAGAGCACCAUAUUUACAAAUCUAUUUACAUUUGGUUUUUUUAAAAAAAAAAAAUCUCAGACAACAACUAAAGAGAAAAAAAAUAUUUAAAAGGUUCCUUUUUUCCUUUUGAAUCUAAAGCAGCUGCUGUGAGGCUGCACAAGUCUGGAAUUUAAAAAUGAAACUAAUGAAAAGUGUUUCUGUACAGAUAGCUGCAACACACGGUAUAGCUUAUUGCCAAUGCCCUUAAAGAAUUUCCCCAUUCCCCCUCUUCCUCUCUCUCAAUUGUUCAUCUCUUUUCCAGCUCAUGUUAAAGCUGGAAGUCAGAAACAUUUCUCACUGUGUGAAAGAGUUCCUACUGGAGCACAUUCCUCACCAAAUGACACUUCAUGCAGACCCCUCAGUAAAAAAAAAAACGAAACAAAAGAACAUUUUCAAACAGCAGAUCGCUCAAAAUAAUGUACAAGUUUUAAAAAAUAAACUUUGACUUUUCAUCACACUGUAUGUACAUACUCUACUAACGCUGCACCCUCAUGUACAGUAAGCUUUGGGGAACCCCGGAUAUCGGUAGCUGGAAACAACAUGUUCUCUAUCAGCAAACACAACGUCAUGUGGAUAAAAAAAUAACACCUCAUUUGUAAAUAUGUGGUCAGCAGUAACUUUUCCAAACAUGGUGAGCACCGUGUUGCUACAGAAUCAAUACAGCGCUGCACUCAACAUGCUCUUUGAGAAACGGCCAGGUUUCCUCUUCCUUGUUCAAAAUCUAACAGAGUGCUGCCUCUCCAAUGAGAUUUAAAGGGUUGUGACCAGCAGUUUGCACCAAGCUCAAUUCACCCAGAAAUUAUUCUCAAAAACAACAGAAAACAGAUUGUCUGAGUGCAACAUGGAGUCCAAAUAGUUUCGUCCCCGACAAGAUCCACUGGAUGGAUUCAUACUCAGGGAGUCCAGCUGAUCUCUCUGCUGGCUAACAUUCAGAGAUGACCACCGGGUAGAGGUGAGGGAGGGCUGUCGUUUUCAGGAGUGUUGCUUGGUAUUAAUGAGGAGAUGCACUCGUUCUCCAUCACUAUCAGCUCUGCCUAAUACUUCUCUCUGAGCCUGUCAAGCACCUGGAGUGUUCAGACGCUCACCUCUGGAGACAUCAGUUGUCAAGUGAUCACAAUGAAGUCGUCAUUUUGAGAACAAGUCAACAACAUAAGAAUACGUUUUUCAUUUUUACAAGGAAAAAGGCUAAAAUUUCAAGAUUAGAUUGAAUUAUCAGGAAAACAUAUAUAAAUAAAGCUUAAAAAAAGUUAUCACAAAAACCCUUUAAUGUCAAGAGUAAACUCUCUACAAGUUAAAAGGUCGUAAUUAAAGAAAUAAAUGAGACCCUUAGAAGAGGUGAUUAUAAAACUGAGCUUUCAUUCUGUAAAAAAGAAGUUGUACUUCAUUCAGAAUGUCAGAAGAAAUUGUAGUACAAGCUGUAGUUUUAUAAAUAGAAUAUUUCAGCAGGGCAUCUGCAGGACUGAAACCAGCUGGUCAAAGUCUAUAACUUUAUUGACAGCGGCUCUGCAUUAAUCAGUAAAGGUACUUCUAACAGUCUGCACAUGACUUUAGCUAAAAAACUGAAAUCUUUAGUACACUUCUGCAGUGUUCACUAAAUCUGCCUCAUAUAACAUCAUUUAAUGUGUUUGAGGGUUAAAUCAGCAGGACAAGAAGGCUCAAAUUAUAUAUGAAGUGCAGGAAAUUAUUGACAUUUCUGUGACAUUAUUGUCAGCUUAAUAAUUCCAAGUUACAUGAUCUGGACACAUACACCACUGUUCAAAAGUUUGGAGUCACCUAGAAAUGUCCUUAUUGGUAAAAAAAAAAGCAUUUUUUUUCAGUGAAGAUAACAUUAAAUGAAUGAUAAAUCCAGUGUAGACAUUGUUAAUGUGGUAAAUGACUAUUCUAGCUGGAAACAGCUGAUUUUUAAUGGAAUAUCUCCAUAGGGGUACAGAGGAACAUUU
Long non-coding RNA from Amphiprion ocellaris (clown anemonefish), 2386 nucleotides. The record is from Ensembl. Lineage: Eukaryota; Metazoa; Chordata; Actinopteri; Pomacentridae.